Molecule: ribosomal RNA, 252 nt
Filed under: uncultured bacterium
Lineage: Bacteria
Description: partial 16S ribosomal RNA
Rfam family: Bacterial small subunit ribosomal RNA
Source: RNAcentral
UACAUAGGUGGCGAGCGUUAUCCGGAUUUAUUGGGCGUAAAGAGUGCACAGGUGGUUUAUCAAGUCAGGCGUUAAAGCCCGGAGCUCAACUCCGGUUCGCGUUUGAAACUGAUAGACUAGAGUAUCGGUGGGGUUAGUAGAAUUCCAUGUGUAGCGGUGGAAUGCAUAAAUAUAUGGAGGAAUACCAGUGGCGAAGGCGGCUAACUGAACGAUAACUGACACUUAAGCACGAAAGCGUGGGGAGCAAAUAGG